GUCCCUGACUCAGCAGAAUUCCCAAUUCCUUCUCGUCCAUCACCACAUUGAAGCUGGUUGGUCAGCCAGAGAGAGAUGGAGAGUGAGAUCUGGAGCCUUCAGUAAAUCCUGCAGCCGGUACUCAGGAGGUUCCUGAAUCAAUAGACUUCCCAACUGCUGUGUGUCUCAUCCAUCACCUCAUUGAAGAUGGUUGGUCAGCCAGGGAGACAAAGGGCAGGGAGAUCUGGAGCCUUCAAUAAAUCCUGCAGUGAGGUAAUCAGGAUGUUCCUAACUCCUGUCUCAUCCAUCACCUCAUUGAAGCUGGUUGGUCAGCCAGAGAGAGAGAGAGAGAUAGAGAGAGGGAGACCUGGAGCCUUCAGUCAAUCCUGCAGCCGGUACUCAGGAAAGUGCUGACUCCAUAGACUUCCCAAUUGCUGGGUGUCUCGUCCAACACCUCAUUGAAGUUGAUUGGUCAGCCAGAGAGACAAAGGGCAGAGAGAUCUGGAGCCUUCAAUAAAUCCUGCAGUGAGGUACUCAGGAAAGUCCUGACUCAAUAGCCUUCCCAGCUGCGGGGUGGAUUGUCCAUCACCACAUUGAACGCAGUUGGUCUGCCAGAGGGAGACAAAGGGCAGGGAGAUCUGGAGCCUUCAAUAAAUCCUGUAGUGAGGUAUUCCUGAUGUCCCUGACUCAGCACAAUUCCCAAUUCCUGUCUCGUCCAUCACCACAUUGAAGACGGUUGGUCAGCCAGAGAGAGAUGGAGAGUGAGAU
Long non-coding RNA from Hemiscyllium ocellatum (epaulette shark), 747 nucleotides. RefSeq lists it as uncharacterized. The transcript has 6 exons. NCBI's taxonomy places the organism in Eukaryota, Metazoa, Chordata, Chondrichthyes, Orectolobiformes, Hemiscylliidae. The record is from RefSeq and is a predicted model, not a curated record.